Molecule: ribosomal RNA, 1441 nt
Filed under: uncultured marine bacterium
Lineage: Bacteria
Description: partial 16S ribosomal RNA
Rfam family: Bacterial small subunit ribosomal RNA
Source: RNAcentral
AGAGUUUGAUCCUGGCUCAGAACGUACGCUGGCGGCACGCCUAACACAUGCAAGUCGAACGAAGUAGCAAUACUUAGUGGCAGACGGGUGAGUAACAUGUAGGUAUCUACCCUUUGGCCUGGAAUAACACGAGGAAACUUGUGCUAAUACCGGAUAAGUCUUUACGGAGAAAGCUUUAUGCACCAUUGGAUGAGCCUGCACUUGAUUAGUUUGUUGGUGGGGUAAUGGCCUACCAAGACUGUGAUCAAUAGCUGAUUUGAGAGGAUGAUCAGCCACAUUGGGACUGAGACACGGCCCAAACUCCUACGGGAGGCAGCAGUGGGGAAUCUUGCACAAUGGAGGAAACUCUGAUGCAGCGAUGCCGCGUGAGUGAAGAAGGCCUUUGGGUUGUAAAGCUCUUUCGUCGGGGAAGAAAAUGACUGUACCCGAAUAAGAAGGUCCGGCUAACUUCGUGCCAGCAGCCGCGGUAAUACGAAGGGACCUAGCGUAGUUCGGAAUUACUGGGCUUAAAGAGUUCGUAGGUGGUUGAAAAAGUUAGUGGUGAAAUCCCAGAGCUUAACUCUGGAACUGCCAUUAAAACUUUUCAGCUAGAGUAUGAUAGAGGAAAGCAGAAUUUCUAGUGUAGAGGUGAAAUUCGUAGAUAUUAGAAAGAAUACCAAUUGCGAAGGCAGCUUUCUGGAUCAUUACUGACACUGAGGAACGAAAGCAUGGGUAGCGAAGAGGAUUAGAUACCCUCGUAGUCCAUGCCGUAAACGAUGUGUGUUAGACGUUGGAAAUUUAUUUUCAGUGUCGCAGCGAAAGCGAUAAACACACCGCCUGGGGAGUACGACCGCAAGGUUAAAACUCAAAGGAAUUGACGGGGGCCCGCACAAGCGGUGGAGCAUGUGGCUUAAUUCGAUGCAACGCGAAGAACCUUACCUGGGCUAAAUCAUAGUGGAAAUAGCUAGAAAUAGCUAUGCCUUCGGGCCGCUAUGAAGGUGCUGCAUGGCUGUCGUCAGCUCGUGCCGUGAGGUGUUGCCUUAAGUGGCGCAACGAGCGCAACCCCUGUGACUAGUUACCAGCACAUAAUGGUGGGGACUCUAGUCAGACUGCCUACGCAAGUAGUGAGGAAGGUGGGGACGACGUCAAGUCAUCAUGGCCCUUACGUCCAGGGCUGCACACGUGCUACAAUGGUCAGUACAGAGGGCUGCCACCUGGUGACAGGGAGCAAAUCCAUAAAGCUGGCCUCAGUUCGGAUUGUAGUCUGCAACUCGACUACAUGAAGUUGGAAUCGCUAGUAAUCGCGUAUCAGCUACGACGCGGUGAAUACGUUCCCGGGCCUUGUACACACCGCCCGUCAAGCGAUGGAAGUGAGGAGUACCUAACGUCGCCGUGCCAACCGCAAGGAGGCAGGCGCCUAGGGUAAGCUUCAUAACUGGCGCUAAGUCGUAACAAGGUAACC